AACAUAAUGUAGCCAAGGACUGUGACAAGCCAGUACAAAUACAGAGUCAUGUU
This 53-nucleotide non-coding RNA is filed under the name unclassified sequences. The record is from RNAcentral.